This 626-nucleotide ribosomal RNA is filed under the name Peritrichia sp. salmon/09-17-241-4/NOR/2009. Its description in RNAcentral is "SSU rRNA". It matches the Rfam family "Eukaryotic small subunit ribosomal RNA", at positions 350 to 1000 of the family's 1831-position model. The record is from RNAcentral. Lineage: Eukaryota; Ciliophora; Oligohymenophorea.
CAGUCACGGGUAACGGAGAAUUAGGGUUCGAUUCCGGAGAGGGAGCCUGAGAAACGGCUACCACAUCUAAGGAAAGCAGCAGGCGCGAAAAUUGCCCCAUCCUGAUUCAGGGAGGCAGUGACAAGAAAUAACAACUCUUGGUUUUUACCAGGAAGUGUAAUGAGGAUAAUUUACAACCCUUACUGAAAGCAAUUGGAGGGCAAGUCUGGUGCCAGCAUCCGCGGUAAUUCCAGCUCCAAUAGCGUAUAUUAAAGUUGUUGCAGUUAAAAAGCUCGUAGUUGAAAUUCUGAUUGUUUGGUGUCGAGCAAUGAGCUCUGUCGCCGGCAGUCAUCCGCUUGCAAGCAUAUGUCCGUCCGUUAAAAGAUGGCUAUGUGAGCAAGUAUUUUACCUUGAGAAAAACAGAGUGUUCCAGGCAGGUUUUGUCCGGAAUGCAUUAGCAUGGAAUAAUAGAAUAUGACUGGAGUCUAUUUAUUGGUUUAAGACUUUAGUAAUGAUUAAUAGGAACAGUCGGGGGCAUUAGUACUUGACAGUCAGAGGUGAAAUUCUAAGAUUUGUCAAAGACUAACUAAUGCGAAAGCAUUUGCCAAGGAUGUUUUCAUUAAUCAAGAACGAAAGUUAGGGGAUCA